Molecule: ribosomal RNA, 494 nt
Filed under: uncultured bacterium
Lineage: Bacteria
Description: partial 16S ribosomal RNA
Rfam family: Bacterial small subunit ribosomal RNA
Source: RNAcentral
GACGAACGCUGGCGGCGUGCUUAACACAUGCAAGUCGAACGGUGAAGCGCCUUCCUUUUUGGGGGGUGUGGAUGAGUGGCGAACGGGUGCGUAACACGUGAGUAACCUGCCCCCUUCUUCUGGAUAACCGCAUGAAAGUGUGGCUAAUACGGGAUAUUCUGCUUCUGUCGCAUGAUGGGUCUGGGUAGGAUAUUGUUUCGGGGGGGGAUGGGCGGGCGGCCUAUCAGCUUGUUGGUGGGGUGAUGGCCUACCAAGGCGGUGACGGGUGGCCGGCCUGGGAGGGUUGCCGGCCUCACUGGGAUCGAGGCCUGGCCGAGACUCAUACGGGAGCCAGCAGUCGGGAGUAGGGCACAAUGGGCGCAAGGCUGAUGUAGCGGAGCGGCGUGAGGGGUGGAGGCGCUCGGGUUAUGAACCUCUUUCGCUAGUGAAGCGGGCCUGCCUCGUAUGUGGGUGGGUUGACGGUAGCUGGAUAAGAAGCGCCGGCUAGCUACGUG